Molecule: long non-coding RNA, 907 nt
Organism: Uranotaenia lowii
Lineage: Eukaryota; Metazoa; Arthropoda; Insecta; Diptera; Culicidae
Exons: 5
Source: RefSeq, a predicted model, not a curated record
UGGAAACACUAGCAACAGAAAGAAAUAAAACAUCUUAGUGGUCCGUCAUGGAGAAUCCGAAUGAAACCAGAAGAAAAUAUAAUCCCGAAACAUCCUGCAAUACCAGUCUAACAGAUAAAGUUAUUAUAUCAUCAUUUGCGUGCCUAUUGCUGAUUUGGGCACAAUCACACGAAAAUAGGAGCCAAAAUUGGAAACAAAUCCGAUCACAAUGACCGGAGUGUUUUGCUUGGUAGCCAUAUCAAUUAAGUAGUUACUGUGUCCCCUAUAAUGCUAGCUGAAUAACAUAACACCAGAAAUUUGCGAUGCAGAAUCAAAAAAUCCCUGGUCGAGAAUAUUGAAAUCCAGAAACAAUCCCCGAUGAUUUUCACUCGCGAAAUGAUACGGUACCUGGAUUCACUGUGACCUUUUCGCUCACGGAAGAGGGAUCCGCACCACAGUACCACGACUUAUAUGGAGCAAAUUCAGAGAAGAACUCCGACCCAACCAGGAGCUGGAGGUUUCCCGGAAGGAACCGUAAAAGGCAACCGGACAGUAGCUCCUCAAAAGAGGCCACCGGGAAAGGAUAGUUUAAACCUUACUUAAGUCACCUAUCAAUGGCUUCAAGAAAAAAGAUUCAGAUAAGGACGAACAGGAGACCAAUACUGCUGUUACUGGUAAAACUAAUACCAUUAUGGUAUGUGCCUGGCAGGUCUACAAGCCCCAAUCAUUCAACCAGAUGGUACUGGAACUCAAUUCCUCGGCCUCGGACCUCGAAAGAAUACCGACUAUAUGAGGACCAUCGAAAGCAUACCGACUAUAUGAGGUUCUGUAUCAUCUGGGAAUAACUGAGCAAGAUUAUACCGGCUGUGCAGUCACGCUGAACCCGGUGCAGGUUUGCACCGCUGGCAGCAGCACAGAUUCUUCCCCG